This 62-nucleotide transfer RNA is filed under the name Cryptocephalus aureolus. RNAcentral's name for it is "tRNA-Glu". It matches the Rfam family "tRNA". From Rfam's summary of the family: Transfer RNA (tRNA) molecules are approximately 80 nucleotides in length. Their secondary structure includes four short double-helical elements and three loops (D, anti-codon, and T loops). Lineage: Eukaryota; Metazoa; Arthropoda; Insecta; Coleoptera; Chrysomelidae. The record is from RNAcentral.
UUUUAUAUAGUUUAAGUAAAACACUACAUUUUCAAUGUAAAAUUGAGGUUACUCUAUAAAUA